Molecule: non-coding RNA, 1562 nt
Organism: Salmo salar (Atlantic salmon)
Lineage: Eukaryota; Metazoa; Chordata; Actinopteri; Salmoniformes; Salmonidae
Source: RefSeq, a predicted model, not a curated record
CUAGCUUGCGACUCUACGUCUUAUAGGAACGCGCUCACUGGCCAAGCACGCGCACUGUCGUGGAUGCAAGGUCCGAUCCCACUUCUGACACCAGUGUAAUGAAACAGGCAGGGAGCAGGUCUCGAAUCCUCGACCUUCUAGCCAGAAGUCCAGCUUGCUAUCGACUGUGCCCCAAAAGCAUGCUCAAGCGGCAGAGUCAGUAUACGCGCUUAUAAAUCCAGGGUCGUUACAGUACUUUUGCAACAAUUAAAAUAUAAGUUAGUUAGUUAGCUACUUGUAACAUGAAUUUGAUAGUGAAUGACUAUACUUUAGAUUUUCCGUGUUCACCCGGAGAUGGCAACGAAAACGCUACAAGACAUGGUGUUCGCAGCUGUCUCUGCAUAGCGGCAAAAUAACUGUCACAUUUGACAAGGGGACAACAGAAAAAUGUCCUGUGUUGCUUUAACCUUAUUACAGCGAACUUGUUGCUCAUGGAAAUGAGUUAACACUUCUACAGACGCAGCGUGUGCAAAAUACAAGAAUAGUCGCAUUAUAUUUUCAGACAGAUGUCAACCUGCCAGUGUGGAUUCUGGGAUCUCUGUUUCAGAUGACACCAGAUGAUGGAGUGUUCCGGGCCUCUCCCCUGACCUUUGACCCUUCAAUGGUGGAAAUAUUUCUGGCGUUGUAGUCAGGGGCGUGCCUCCUCAUUGUCCCCAAGGCAGUGGUGUAAAGUACCUAAGUAUGAAAAUGUAGUACUUUUUCCACCACUGGCCCACGGUGAUUAAGAAAAUGCCCAACAGAGUGACUCAUGUGCUAUUUAAGAAACACAAGACAAGGCUUGUCCUGCAGGAAGAGGUCCUCUCUGCUGGCUUUUCUCUGUGUGUGUUAGCCCUGUGGGGCGAGGCCUGUCCCUCCCCAGCCCUGCUCUGUAGCUGGAGGCAGCAUAGGAAAUGUACUCACAACAUCUAUGGCAUCACUGAGGUGUUCCGCUGGGCCUGCUACUAGCACUUCCCAGAGAGCCUCCUGCAGUCUACUGAUGUGAGUCAGCCCUGAACCCUGAUCAUGUAGUCAUAGCACUAGCUCUUCUGUUUCAGUGAUAUGAGUACGGAGGUACCUUUUACUCAAUUUAUCCAAUUGUUCUUGCAUAAUGUAGUUUUUGUGCUCGCCUCACAGGACUGAAUCCUCUGUGCAGCUGGUCCUCCUCUGAUGGAGACCACAGUUGAAGUAAGAGAUGAGGAUGGCUGUGUUGUUACUCAGGAGGAAGAACAGGUGUUUAUAGGUGGGAUGGAUAGGGUGUGUCUUCUAGACCAGGGGUUCCCAAACUUUUUGACACCGGGCUCCCUUCCAGCGCUGGGGAACAUCUCCCACCCCACGUCUAUUUCUAUGGGCACAAGCACUGUUCACUCCCGUCUUGUUGGUGGAGAUACAUUUUUAAUUCUACACAUUUUGUCAUGGGGUGCAGAGAACAUGUAGCAGUUUUAUAGCAUUUUGAUUUUGCAAUUCUAUACAAUUUGCUAUGUAAACUCAGCAAAAAAAUAAACGUCCCUUUUUCAGGACCCUGUCUUUCAAAGAUAAUUCGUAAA